CGGGGUUUUAUAGUUCAGUUUAGUGACAUCGAUAUUAAAACUGGCCUGUAAAGUCCCGCU
RNAcentral lists this microRNA precursor (60 nucleotides) under Ptychodera flava. RNAcentral's name for it is "Pfl-Mir-193-P1c_pre stem-loop". The record is from RNAcentral. Lineage: Eukaryota; Metazoa; Hemichordata; Enteropneusta; Ptychoderidae.